AGAGUCUGUGCUCUCUUGGUUAGAAGGAAAGAAACUUGCUCACAUUAAAGUUAAAAGGAGGUUAUCCUAAGGAUACAAGGAUGUUUACAAGGAAUCCUGGGAAGACUGAACAAUUGAGCUGCAGAGACAGUGGAAACUGAGGUAAUCCAGAGUGCUAGCUGCCCUCCCAUCUUUGUCUCUGUAACCCAUGGCUUCCCCUUUCCUCUCUGCGUAGCUACUCUGAUCUCUCCCAGCCAACUUUCUCUCCAUUUAUUUUCCUCAUAAGAUAUACCUCUGAAAUGGCCACUCCAGCUCAAACUCUAAGUGAAUCUUUAGUGCAAGCACCCAAAUCACACGUAACUUUCUUCCUUGUCCUUUUGGUUCAAAUUCCUUAAGGAGAGGAUCUGAUUGGCUUGGUCUCUCUUCAAGUGAGACCACAAAAAUUGCUGGCCAGCCUAGAUUAAACCACCCUUGCAGGGCCCGAGCCCCUUUCCACUUGUUUGUUACCUGGAAACUGGGGUCUUUGUACUCUGCUAUUUAUGACAAGAGCAAGGAAUGAAGCAGAUUCCCUAAGAGAAGAGCCAGUGAUGGGGGGAAGAAUGGGGAGGUACCACAAAAUAUUUCGAGGAUUUCUAGUCAAAUGUUUACUACUCCUAACAACUUAACACUGAUUGUAUACUAUCAUUUGUUUUCUAUACUUGUUUGCCUAAAAUGGUGUUACUGUUUUGUGUAAGCAAAGAAUUUUAAAAUUUACUCCACAUAAUACCUUCCAUAGUGUUAACUGUUAACAUUUAUUCCUCAAUAUUCAUUAAAUAUUUAUUGAGCACCUACAUGUCAAGCACUAUCAUGAAGGGUAUGGUAAUAAACAUAAUUCUUGACCUCAGGGAGCUUACGUUCUGAAAUUUUUAUUUUAUAUAUAAUCCCAGUUAGGCAUACAAAAUUGUAGAAGUUUUCAUGAUUUUAUAUAAUCAUCACCUUCAGAAUAGAGCCCUUCUCACCACUCAAUUUAAAAAUACACCCACUACCACUAGUAUACCCUUUCAAUAUUUAUCCCCUGCUUCAUUCGUCUUCCUAGAAUUGCACAAACACAUCAUGUAUUAUAUUUAUUGAUCUUGUUUAUUGUCUCUAUUACUAGACUGCAAACUUAUGAAAGUAGAGAUUUUUAUCCCUUUUCUUCACUGUGUAUUCUUAGUGCCAGAUAUUUACUGAAAGCACAAAUAAAUGAAGAAAUGAAUGAAUCAUCUUACUUAUUUUUUGUCAAGCAUCUAAUGAGUCUCAGGCACCAUAUUGGCUAUUUUUAUAAAGAUCAUUUUACUUACUCUUCCCAAUAAGUCCAUGAAGCAUUUGUUAUGGGCGUCUCUACUUCAUAUAUUGAAAAACUGGGCAUAAGAGAGACUAAAAUCCUUGCCCAAGUUCACAUAGCCAAUCGGUGGCAAACGGGUUCAGGUUUGUCUGACUCAAGAGUUCAUGUUCUUCACCUCUAAACUACAUACUAUUUGUAAAUAAAAUACUAGUUUACAGAAGUAGUGAUGGGUCUGUAAUGGUCCAUACUUUGCUGUAAUGUUCGUUUAUUUGAUGACACUGUAGGUUUGAAGCAGAGUUUUAAUUGAGAAAGCAACCUAAAUGGCUUGCUGUGCUACAAUGUUUUUGGCUUCAUAUCCCUGUCCUCUCCAGCCAUGGUUUUUGGGAAAGAGUCCUGAUGUACAUCUAGGAUGUAUUUAUUAUUAAAUAUUUGUCUAGAGUGUUUGUAGUAAACAAAAGUACUUAUCUUUUAAAUAAAACAAGAGGGCAAGUAACAAAGUCACCUUGUUUGGAUAAAAUGUGAAGGAAGCAGGUAAAUCUGUCAAGAGCUAUGGAUAUUGCCACCAAGAUUCUGAAGAGCCUUGUUCCUAUCCAGAAAGACAGGAAACACAGUUCAUAAUAAACUGAGUCCUUAAUGCUUUUAACCAAGAUGGUUGUGAAACACUCAGAAAAAAGCUAGAAUAUAGUAGUGGUUUAAAUGAGCUAUAAAGUAUAAAAGAGAAUAAAGAUAGAAGAACUUGGUAGUAUAAAUAAAACAUAUAAAAAUAUUGAAAUGGUAAUUUUAUACAUGAAAGCAUUAUGAUAAAAUAACCCUGUGGCAAUGAUUGACUACAUCAAAUUAUUUUUUGACAGAACAAAAGAAAGCACUGUAGAUCACCAAAAUCCCUAGGUCAAGGAAUUGAACAUUCUUGACUAGUGCAUUUGCAAAGCCAAAUAACUAUAGAAAUAGUAUCUUCCAGUAUUAUUGUAUUUAUAGUUUUCCCUUUUUCUCUCCUUAAUUUCAAAUCCUAAUACUCUGCCAAGAAGGGAUCUGUAUGUAUUAGCUAUGUUUCUUCUCUGGAAUUUCAACCCAUCCCUUAUGGUUGUGUGGAAAUUCCAUAGACAUUUUCUAGUAGAUGCAGCAAAAAUGGUAGAGUUUGGUGGAAAUAAGUUUCCUUUUUUUUUUUUUAAAUGUGCACUCUGUUCUAUGCUCAGGUUAAUAAGAGAAGAUGAGAAGGCCAGUCUUUCAAAGCAACCCCAACCCUUUGCUUCCUGUUUUUAGUAUGAGUCAAAGAAGGCAUAUUCUCCCAGGCCUUGAUUGGGUAGAGAAAAAGCAAUGCCAGGUAGAGGUAUUUUGAAUGGGAAGAAAAGUGAUGUGAAGGUGAAAUGGGAGAGUUCUCUGAUCCCCUUCAUAGGGCGUGCGACAGGGGUGCUCGCCUGUUCUGUCCCCGUUACUGCUCAAAACCCCUUACAGGAUGGGGAGCGCGCAGGCAGGUGAAGGAGCCCAAGUGGGCGUGUGUUACAGUGCGCCAUUUUAGCUUUGCCAUCCGCGGACGGCUUGAGUGUUAACCAGCUCGGUGGACCGUUUGCCUUUCUGCGAGGGCAGCGGCUUCCUCUAGAAUAAAGAAUGAAGAAAAUUGAAAUGAUCUCUGAAACUCGAGAAUAGUUAUGUAAAAGAGAAAAAACAAAGUCUAUCGUUCAAAGGCUACUGAACCAGGAAACAGGCAGCCCGCGUUAAAAUCCCAGCUCUGGGAUCAACUGGUUAGAUUAUUUUCAUUCAGGCAUCUUUUCUUUCUGCACUACUUCAUCUACCAGUUGCUAACAUUGAAUGAACCUUUACAGUGUUCCAGGUACUGUUUUAAGAGAUUUUCUAUACUCAUAUAACAUUUUUGAAAGAAAAAGUGAAAUAUAGGCCUACAUGUUCAGCCUCAACGUGAACGUGAUGAGGAUGAAGACCUUUAUGAUAAUCCACUUUCACUUAGUGAAUCGGGAUUGGACUGCUGCAUUCUAAAAAUAAUGGUGAGAAGAAUGAAUAAAUUAGAGUUUACUAUGUAAUAAAACCUUCUAAAAAAGAGGAGAGGUAGCAGAAUUUACAAGAAGGUUAAACCUGACCUUACUGAAGAGAAUGAUACCCUCAUAGCAGCGCAUCUUCUUUGCUCACAGAAAGCUCCUUGGACAAAUGUGUUUUGAGUUUCAAGUGAGCAAACCUUCAAUGUGUCUGCCAUUUUGGGGAAGAAGUUGUAACUUGGAGUGAAGGUAGAGGGAUUUAUUAUGAGAGCUUUGCUAGCAGACAUCUCAUUCUUUAAGACAAAAUCAACGCACAAACAUAAUUGGUCAAAGGAAGAAAGCUACAAAACCAAUUCAAUAACAUCUGAAGCCUGAGAGGAAAAUGAAAGACAAGAGGCUGUGGCUGCAGCUGUGUCUGCUGACAACAGGAUAAAAAUGGUUGCAUUGAGAGUGAGCUGCAUUUUCACCAGGCAGAGCAAACUGGGAGCUAAUGUGUUUCUUGGAAAUCAAAAGAGGACUCCAAGAAUAGAAGCUUUUAAGAGGACUGGCUGGAGAGUCAAAGAAGAUCCAUUAGCUUCUGGACCACUGAAAACCUAAGGGCUGAUGGUGGGGCAGGGUAAGUGGCCGGCAGCAGGGAGACAUUUUCUGUAUCUAGGAUGGUAUAGAAAAGACCCCCACUGGACAGAUCUACAAAGAACAACUAAAGAGUCUCAUGGUAGAACAGGUCAGCUCUGGACAUCAUUCAAAUCCAGGGGAGCCUCUUAUACUGGAUUGCAAUUGUGUUGGGCAUGUACAAUGGUGUUCUUUUUCUCUAAUGGCUUCUUUCUUCUGGUCAGUCUCUGGAAGGGGUGAAAGAGUGAGAAAUAGUAGCCAGCAAGUGUAGAAAGAGAUGUGGAAGAGAGAACGGGGAAACAGAAAUUGCAUUUCUCCCACGUUCCAAAUGUAGGUUAUCCGGGUUAAAUGUAGGCCCCACCUGACUAGGCAAAGAUUUUUUCCUUUGUUGUGAGUUUGAAAAGAACUAAACAUCAUACUGAAGUGGAAUUAUUGAAAUUGGAUAGACCCAGGUUCAAAUGUUGACUCAGUUAUGUAACAUCUUGUGAAUUUUGACAGGUUCCUUAACUCCACUGAGUCUGUUUUUAUACCCAUGAAAUGGAUGUAGGAUUGUUAUGAACAUUAAUUGAAAAAUUAUAUAUAAAAUAAGUGUCCAGCAUAGUUCCUGGCACAUACUAGUGCUUGAAAACUACCAAUCAACUUCAUCAAUUUGUGUUAUGCCCUGCAUGGGCACAUAUUUGUCCUGAUACUCUUCAAAAUGUAGAAGUACCCACAGAAAAAUUGUCUCAGUUCAAGCACAGUAUUAUUAAUAUUCUACUGAGUACUAAGUAUGGUCGUUAAUAGUCUAAUAUGAGGAAGUCAAAACAGUCUCUGGAAAAAGUCUUUCUGCAAGCUUUUUGAAGCUUCAGGGAUUGCUACAAAGACUGGAAAAUCGAUCUUGAACUCAGCCUUUUAAUUUCUUUUCAUGAUUACUGUUCUCAAAUGGAGAAUGCAAUUAAAAUUAAUGCUGUCUUAGUUCACUUGCCUCAAAAUAAACAUUGAUCAAAUUCUAUGUGAA
RNAcentral lists this long non-coding RNA (4876 nucleotides) under Homo sapiens (human). Its description in RNAcentral is "HSALNT0293065". Lineage: Eukaryota; Metazoa; Chordata; Mammalia; Primates; Hominidae. The record is from RNAcentral.